RNAcentral lists this transfer RNA (77 nucleotides) under Candidatus Aquicultor secundus. RNAcentral describes it as "Actinobacteria bacterium CG17_big_fil_post_rev_8_21_14_2_50_50_24 tRNA-Pro". It matches the Rfam family "tRNA". From Rfam's summary of the family: Transfer RNA (tRNA) molecules are approximately 80 nucleotides in length. Their secondary structure includes four short double-helical elements and three loops (D, anti-codon, and T loops). Further hydrogen bonds mediate the characteristic L-shaped molecular structure. tRNAs have two regions of fundamental functional importance: the anti-codon, which is responsible for specific mRNA codon recognition, and the 3' end, to which the tRNAs corresponding amino acid is attached (by aminoacyl-tRNA synthetases). tRNAs cope with the degeneracy of the genetic code in two manners: having more than one tRNA (with a specific anti-codon) for a particular amino acid; and 'wobble' base-pairing, i.e. permitting non-standard base-pairing at the 3rd anti-codon position. Lineage: Bacteria; Bacillati; Actinomycetota; Candidatus Aquicultoria; Candidatus Aquicultorales; Candidatus Aquicultoraceae. The record is from RNAcentral.
CGGGGCGUAGCGCAGUUUGGUAGCGCACACGGCUGGGGGCCGUGUGGUCGCAGGUUCAAAUCCUGUCGCCCCGACCA